Molecule: long non-coding RNA, 257 nt
Filed under: Brassica napus (rape)
Lineage: Eukaryota; Viridiplantae; Streptophyta; Magnoliopsida; Brassicales; Brassicaceae
Description: long non-coding RNA (BNAP_LNC008140)
Source: RNAcentral
GCUGGGGUUCAUGUCCUCACCUCCGCCUGAUCUUUCAGCUGUGGCUGGUUGUCAGCGUUAACAGGUGCCUCUUGCGGGUUCUGCAAUGAAGGUGAUGAAAUUUCUUCUCCAAAGGAAAACUCAAAUAUUCACAAUUAGUUUUGACAUUUACUUCUUUUGAGCUUCUCAAACCAGUACUAUGAUAUCACUUGUUGAUGAUACACCUUUGAAUCACACACUCGACUCAAACUCUUGAUUGUUCUCUCUCUCUCUCUCUC